Molecule: transfer RNA, 83 nt
Filed under: archaeon
Lineage: Archaea
Description: tRNA-Ser
Rfam family: tRNA
About the family: Transfer RNA (tRNA) molecules are approximately 80 nucleotides in length.
Source: RNAcentral
GCCGCGGUCGCAUAAUCUGGUAUUGCACUAGCCUGGAAAGCUAGGCCCUUCGGGGCAUCUCGGUUCAAAUCCGAGUCGCGGCG